UCCCUGGUUGUACAGCAGCUAAGACACUGUGCUCUCAAUGCAGGGGUCCCAGGUUCAAUCCCUGGUCAGGGAA
This 73-nucleotide transfer RNA is filed under the name Bos taurus (domestic cattle). It matches the Rfam family "tRNA". Rfam says of the family: Transfer RNA (tRNA) molecules are approximately 80 nucleotides in length. Their secondary structure includes four short double-helical elements and three loops (D, anti-codon, and T loops). Further hydrogen bonds mediate the characteristic L-shaped molecular structure. tRNAs have two regions of fundamental functional importance: the anti-codon, which is responsible for specific mRNA codon recognition, and the 3' end, to which the tRNAs corresponding amino acid is attached (by aminoacyl-tRNA synthetases). tRNAs cope with the degeneracy of the genetic code in two manners: having more than one tRNA (with a specific anti-codon) for a particular amino acid; and 'wobble' base-pairing, i.e. permitting non-standard base-pairing at the 3rd anti-codon position. The record is from Rfam by way of RNAcentral. Lineage: Eukaryota; Metazoa; Chordata; Mammalia; Artiodactyla; Bovidae. RNAcentral also lists the same sequence under 4 other names.